UACGUAGGGUGCGAGCGUUAAUCGGAAUUACUGGGCGUAAAGCGUGCGCAGGCGGUUAUGUAAGACAGUUGUGAAAUCCCCGGGCUCAACCUGGGAAUUGCAUCUGUGACUGCAUAGCUAGAGUACGGUAGAGGGGGAUGGAAUUCCACGUGUAGCAGUGAAAUGCGUAGAGAUGUGGAGGAACACCGAUGGCGAAGGCAGCCUCCUGGGCCAGCACUGACGCUCAUGCACGAAAGCGUGGGGAGCAAACAGG
RNAcentral lists this ribosomal RNA (253 nucleotides) under uncultured bacterium. RNAcentral describes it as "partial 16S ribosomal RNA". It matches the Rfam family "Bacterial small subunit ribosomal RNA", at positions 524 to 776 of the family's 1533-position model. The record is from RNAcentral.